RNAcentral lists this transfer RNA (73 nucleotides) under Ailuropoda melanoleuca (giant panda). It matches the Rfam family "tRNA". From Rfam's summary of the family: Transfer RNA (tRNA) molecules are approximately 80 nucleotides in length. Their secondary structure includes four short double-helical elements and three loops (D, anti-codon, and T loops). Lineage: Eukaryota; Metazoa; Chordata; Mammalia; Carnivora; Ursidae. The record is from Rfam by way of RNAcentral.
GCUUGGCUGGCUCGGUCAGUAGAGUAUGUGACUCUUGAUCUUGGGUUCAUGAGUUCAAGCCCCAUGUUGGGCA